AUGAACGCUGGCGGCGUGCCUAAUACAUGCCAGUCGCGCGAACAGACGAGGAGCUUGCUCCUCUGACGUUAGCGGCGGACGGGUGAGUAACACGUGGAUAACCUACCUAUAAGACUGGGAUAACUUCGGGAAACCGGAGCUAAUACCGGAUAAUAUAUUGAACCGCAUGGUUCAAUAGUGAAAGACGGUUUUGCUGUCACUUAUAGAUGGAUCCGCGCCGCAUUAGCUAGUUGGUAAGGUAACGGCUUACCAAGGCAACGAUGCGUAGCCGACCUGAGAGGGUGAUCGGCCACACUGGAACUGAGACACGGUCCAGACUCCUACGGGAGGCAGCAGUAGGGAAUCUUCCGCAAUGGGCGAAAGCUUGACGGAGCAACGCCGCGUGAGUGAUGAAGGUCUUCGGAUCGUAAAACUCUGUUAUUAGGGAAGAACAAAUGUGUAAGUAACUAUGCACGUCUUGACGGUACCUAAUCAGAAAACCACGGCUAACUACGU
RNAcentral lists this ribosomal RNA (495 nucleotides) under uncultured bacterium. RNAcentral's name for it is "partial 16S ribosomal RNA". It matches the Rfam family "Bacterial small subunit ribosomal RNA", at positions 29 to 506 of the family's 1533-position model. The record is from RNAcentral.